RNAcentral lists this non-coding RNA (187 nucleotides) under Neotamlana nanhaiensis. RNAcentral describes it as "Tamlana nanhaiensis SAM-I sequence". It matches the Rfam family "SAM riboswitch aptamer (S box leader)". Rfam says of the family: The SAM riboswitch is found upstream of a number of genes which code for proteins involved in methionine or cysteine biosynthesis in Gram-positive bacteria. Lineage: Bacteria; Pseudomonadati; Bacteroidota; Flavobacteriia; Flavobacteriales; Flavobacteriaceae. The record is from Rfam by way of RNAcentral.
GUGUUAUCAAGAAAGGUAGAGGGACUAGACCCAAUGAAACCUUGGCAACCCUUGCCCUGAAGCAUUUUGGGGUCUUACAAUCUUAACAUAGAAAGAUUUAAAAGAUUUUGAAACAAGUUCAAGGUAACGAAGGUGCUACAUUCUACUGCGUUUUCCAGUUUUUUGGAAAGUAUCAGACAGAUAACGA